Molecule: ribosomal RNA, 468 nt
Filed under: uncultured bacterium
Lineage: Bacteria
Description: partial 16S ribosomal RNA
Rfam family: Bacterial small subunit ribosomal RNA
Source: RNAcentral
GACGAACGCUGGCGGCGUGCUUAACACAUGCAAGUCGAACGGAAAGGCCCUGCUUUUGUGGGGUGCUCGAGUGGCGAACGGGUGAGUAACACGUGAGUAACCUGCCCUUGACUUUGGGAUAAAUUUAGGAAACUGGGGCUAAUAUCGGAUAGGAGCUCCUGCUGCAUGUUGGGGGUUGGUAAGUUUCGGCGGUUGGGGCUGGUCUCGCGGCUUAUCAGCUUGUUGGUGGGGUAGUGGCUUACAAAGGCUUUGACGGGUAGCCGGCCUGAGAGGGUGACCGGCCACAAUGGGACUGCGGUACGGCCCAGACUCCUACGGGAGGCAGCAGUGGGGAAUAUUGCACAAUGGGCGGAAGCCUGAUGCAGCAACGCCGCGUGCGGGAUGACGGCCUUCGGGUUGUAAACCGCUUUCGCCUGUGACGAAGCGUGAGUGACGGUAAUGGGUAAAGAAGCACCGGCUAACUACGUG